This 466-nucleotide ribosomal RNA is filed under the name uncultured bacterium. Its description in RNAcentral is "partial 16S ribosomal RNA". It matches the Rfam family "Bacterial small subunit ribosomal RNA", at positions 28 to 507 of the family's 1533-position model. The record is from RNAcentral.
GACGAACGCUGGCGGCGUGCUUAACACAUGCAAGUCGAACGGAAAGGCCCUGCUUGCAGGGUACUCGAGUGGCGAACGGGUGAGUAACACGUGGGUGAUCUGCCCUGCACUUCGGGAUAAGCCUGGGAAACUGGGUCUAAUACCGGAUAGGAGCCAUUUUUAGUGUGAUGGUUGGAAAGUUUUUUUCGGUGUAGGAUGAGCUCGCGGCCUAUCAGCUUGUUGGUGGGGUAAUGGCCUACCAAGGCGGCGACGGGUAGCCGGCCUGAGAGGGUGGACGGCCACAUUGGGACUGAGAUACGGCCCAGACUCCUACGGGAGGCAGCAGUGGGGAAUAUUGCACAAUGGGCGCAAGCCUGAUGCAGCGACGCCGCGUGGGGGAUGACGGCCUUCGGGUUGUAAACUCCUUUCGCUAGGAACGAAGCUUUUUGUGACGGUACCUAGAUAAGAAGCACCGGCUAACUACGUG